UACAGAGGGUGCAAGCGUUGCUCGGAAUCAUUGGGCGUAAAGGGCACGUAGGUGGUCUCAUUUGUCUGAUGUGAAAGCCUUGGGCUUAACCCAAGAAGUGCGUCAGAAACGGUGAGACUCGAGUUCUGGAGAGGGUCGUGGAAUUCCCGGUGUAGCGGUGAAAUGCGUAGAUAUACGGAGGAACACCUGCGGCGAAGGCGGGUGGCUGGGCCAACACUGACGCUGAGGCGCGAAAGCUAGGGUAGCAAACGGG
Molecule: ribosomal RNA, 253 nt
Filed under: uncultured bacterium
Lineage: Bacteria
Description: partial 16S ribosomal RNA
Rfam family: Bacterial small subunit ribosomal RNA
Source: RNAcentral